UAUACUACAUUCAAUACAACAGAAGGAAAAACUAUCAAAUCCAUACACCCUCCUGAACAAAGUUUGAAAAUACAAGGAAUGGCAAAUACAGUACCAAAAUCUUCAGAACAAAAUGAAGGAUUACCGUCUACUCAAAUAGUUGUAUAUGAAACAAUCGCUACACCGUAUAAACUUAAUAAUGCUAAUAUACCUCGAAUAGAAUUACUUCCACACAUAAUUGAACAAAAUAAUUAUACCAAUCUUUGUCUUCAUACACUUGGAAAACAAUCUAAUAGAAUAGAAAAUUUACUACAACCUCCUAUUCACAAAGAGAAAAAACAAUUAUUUUUCAAACCACCUCCUGAUUUAAACAAAGAAAAAUUUCUUAU
This 368-nucleotide long non-coding RNA is filed under the name Amborella trichopoda. Its description in RNAcentral is "long non-coding RNA (ATRI_LNC002966)". The record is from RNAcentral. Lineage: Eukaryota; Viridiplantae; Streptophyta; Magnoliopsida; Amborellales; Amborellaceae.